CCCCUAGACGUUCUGGGCUGCACGCGCGCUACAAUAAUACGCACAGCGAGUAUCACCGAGCUCGAAAGGGCUAGGUAAACAAUAGAAAAGGUACUGUAAUGGUUAUAGAUCCUUGUAAUUAUUGAUCUUCAACGAGGAAUUCCUAGUAAGUAUGUGUCAUCAUCACGCACUGAUUACGUCCCUGCCCUUUGUACACACCGCCCGUCGCUCCUACCGAUUGGGUGAGCCGAUGAAACUCUCGGAUGUAGGCUAUUCAUAGCCCGCAGAAGAGAUUUGAAUCGUAGCGCUUAGAGGAAGGAGAAGUCGUAACA
This 311-nucleotide ribosomal RNA is filed under the name uncultured eukaryote. RNAcentral's name for it is "partial 18S ribosomal RNA". It matches the Rfam family "Eukaryotic small subunit ribosomal RNA", at positions 1470 to 1796 of the family's 1831-position model. The record is from RNAcentral.